This 481-nucleotide ribosomal RNA is filed under the name uncultured bacterium. RNAcentral describes it as "partial 16S ribosomal RNA". It matches the Rfam family "Bacterial small subunit ribosomal RNA", at positions 28 to 507 of the family's 1533-position model. The record is from RNAcentral.
GAUGAACGCUGGCGGCGUGCCUAACACAUGCAAGUCGAACGGAGAUUACGGACGGAAGUUUUCGGAUGGAAGACUGUAAUUCUUAGUGGCGGACGGGUGAGUAACGCGUGGGCAACCUGCCCUAUACAGGGGGAUAGCAGCUGGAAACGGCUGGUAAGACCGCAUAAGUCGGCGAGACCGCAUGGUUUUGCCGGGAAAUGAGCAAUCAGGUAUAGGAUGGGCCCGCGUCCGAUUAGCCAGUUGGCAGGGUAAAAGCCUACCAAAGCAACGAUCGGUAGCCGGGCUGGGAGGCCGGGCCGCCACAAUUGGGGUGGGACACAGCCCAAAAUCCUACGGGAGGCAGCAGUGGGGGAUAUUGCACAAUGGAGGAAACUCUGAUGCAGCGACGCCGCGUGAGUGAAGAAGUAUUUCGGUAUGUAAAGCUCUAUCAGCAGGGAAGAUGAUGACGGUACCUGACUAAGAAGCCCCGGCUAACUACGUG